AGGGAUCUUGCCUGAAGUUUCCAUCGACCCGAUGAAAGUGGUGGAAGACGCCGUGUUGGAGAUGUCAGACAAGAAGGAUUUGUUCGUGGCUUACAUGUCCAGCAUGCUGGUUGGUGAACCAGGUGAACCUGUCACCCCACCAGUUGUAAAUGUAGUAACUGAAAAAGAUGAAACUGUGGCUCCCCCGUCUGAUAUAAAGUUGGUAGAAAGGAAAG
Centropristis striata (black sea bass) is the source of this 215-nucleotide long non-coding RNA. RefSeq lists it as uncharacterized. The record is from RefSeq and is a predicted model, not a curated record. NCBI's taxonomy places the organism in Eukaryota, Metazoa, Chordata, Actinopteri, Perciformes, Serranidae. The transcript is spliced from 3 exons.